GUGCGGCGGCGGGAACCGGGGCAGAAUUCUCCGGGCUCGGCUCGGAUCGGCCUGGCCCGGUCCUAGGCCCGCGCUGCCGCCAGCGGCGCUCCAUCAGCCCCACGGCCGCCGUGGCGGGCCCAGCUCGGGAGAGCGGCGCCCCGGGCACGUGUUGCUCGGGGAUGUUCGGCCGUGACAGGGCAGAAGUGUUCCCGCAGCGGUUCGGUUCCGGCGAGGCGCCGCGGGGCUCCUGGCUUGAUGCCGCACCCGACCUGGCCAUAGCGCCUCCAGGAAAGGUGAUCGGCUCGCCUGGCCGAUCCCGGCUGAGCGUUUGCUGCUGCUGGUAAAGCUUCCAGGUCGUAGAAUACCCCGAGCUGGAAGGGACCUACAAGGAUCAUCGAGUUCAACUCCUGCACAGGACACCCCAACGAUCCCACCCCGAGUAUCCCUGAGAGUGUUGUUCAAAUGCUCCUGGAGCUCUGGCAGCCUUGGGGACAUGACCAAACCCUGGGGAGUCUGUUCAGUGCCCCAGCCCCCUCUGGGGGAAGACCCUUUCCCUGAUCCCCACCCUAACCCUCCCCUGGCCCAGCUCCAGCUGUUCCCUGGGUGCUGUCCCUGUCUUAGGGAGCAGAGAUUGGAGCUGCCUCCUCGGCAGGAGCUGCAGCCCUGGUGAGGUCUAACCUUAAUCUUGCCUUCUCCAGCUGAGCAAACCAAGUGCCCUCAGCCACUCUUUGUAGGGCCCCUCCAGACCCUUCACCAUCUUCACUGCCCUCCUUUGGACAUUCUCUAAUUGCUUAAGAUCUUUCUUGUAUCGUGGCGCCUGAAACUGCACGGGAGACUUGAGGAAGGAAACUAGUCCAGAGCACCUGCCACCAGGAGCCUGGCUGUCAACAUCUUUGGAGUCAGGGAGGCACAGCAGAACUGAGCACUGCCAGUUUGUGCCCGGCCACAAACACAGCCCUCCCUCCCCAAUGAGAAGAAAGAGAGAGGAAAAGCAUAAGGGGAAGCAAGCUUAAUAUUUAAUAUAAACUAAAAGUUUGGUCAGACAAGAAGACAGUGGAAAAUAAGUUAAAUUUAUGGAAAACAAAAUUACUCUGGAAAGCAGGUAGAUUAAGCUAGAUUUAAAGAGCAGUUAAUCAAAGACACAAGACAAACAAAGUGUUUUUCAUCAACCAGCAGCAGAAAGCCUGCAGGAUUCAUCAAUCUUCUUGCUUAGCCCUGAGACACAAUGUGUUCCACAGUUCCCAGAUGCUGGUUGUGUAAGGAAGGGUUAAUGGCAGUUGCUAUUAAGGCCAGUGACUCAUUAUCCAACCUGAACUGAGGCAAAUUAGGAGUGGCUCCCUCAAAGGAAGGAACUGAACAGUCAUUAGGAAGAGCUAACAAAUAACCAUGUCAGAGCAAGAGCAGAGGUGAAUGUUAUCAGUUUAGUCUUGGUUGCUCUGUUAAGGAAAGUCAGUCCCACAGCAAGAUGAACAUGGACACAGACUGUGGAAAAGACUAGCCACUGUGACCUGAAAGCUUGGUGCGUCUUGCUGUGGACCUGCUGCCCCCAAACUUCCCCAUUCUUGCUGCUGUAGAAGAGCUCCCAACCUUCACCUCACUGCCAGGUCUACAGGUGGCCAUGGGCUCACCCUGUGGGCAGGUGCUUUUCUGCAUUGCUACUUCAGCACUUGCGGUUCUAGGCAUGCCUUCACUUAGUCAGAAAAAGUUGCAAAAAUAAAAUAAAUUGAAGAAAAAAUGUUGAGGUUUGAAAAAGUAUUUGGGAUAAAAUUUGUCACUUGUUGCAAUCUUGCUCUGAUUUUGUAUCAUCAUAUUUGUUACCAUGUGUGACAUCCCUUUCUUGUCUCUUACAUUGCUGCAAUUAAACUAUACACCAUCACACAACCUUUAUAGGAGGAGGUUUUUCGUGUUCAGGUAUCUCCACAAAAUAUCAACAAACACCAUCUUGCUUAAGCAUAUAAUAACUUUUUUUAAAUAUCCAUGAUAUUUCGGAUGGAAGAUUUUCCUCUUAGGACAAAGAUGUGAAUGUAGAAGGCACAUCACUGAGUUAUUUAAAACUCUUAUUGGUCUCUGCAUCAGCUCUCUAGGGACCACCAAUCCAAAGAAAAGAUUAUUCAAAAGGUAGCAUACUUUACUGGAGCCACUGCUAUGCUCAAACUCAACAUUUCUGAUUGUCCAUAGAGGCCAGCCCUUGAGAAGUUUGGCCCUUGGCGUAUGUGGGGUAAUGUGGAGUAUGAUGGUGUUGCUCCAGCAAACUUUUAGGGCAAGAAAAUGACUGACAGUGAGUCCUCCAAGUGCCUGGGAGAAGCAGGCUGGAGGAGGAGGGGGCAAAGACACUGGCUGAAAGAAUUCUUCCUUUCAGAGAACAAGCGGCGCUUUCACAGCAGUGGAUGCUCAGCCACAGCACACUCUACACAGAUUACAUCAGGGCCAUUAGCUGCCUUUGAUUAGUUUUAAGAAACAAAAGCAUGAAAAUUUUAAGUUCUAAACUUGAAUUUUCAAGAGAAAAAGUAUAAAUAAUAAGGGCAUUAUGGAGCAGGCAGUGGGAGCUGUUGGGGAGCAGUAGCACUGCUGCUUCAAAAACCUGGAACAGUAAGUAGUGUGCUGUUCCUGUGGCAGUGGUUUGAGACAUACAAAAAGCCUGUGUUUAAAGCCUAUUCUACUGCAGUUUUUGUGAGACUAUCAAUAAUAUUGCAAAAAGAUACUAGUAGAAUUCUACAGGUUGAUAUUAUAACAGAUAAGAUGCACUUGCCAGUGGUAUUGUGAGAGCACAUCUGAGGUAAAAUACAUCUACUGCGGCCAUUUCAGAAGGGCAGCUAUCACUUGGAACACUUUAAAAACAUGUCAUUUUUGUUGGCAUUUUUGAGAUUAACACAAGUAUCUCAGGCACGGAAGUAACAGAAUUAGCUACCUAAAUGUGGGGUAGGGCUGCCAGGUUUGGGAAUACCAUCCAUGCCAGACCUUCACUCACAGUUUGCUACAGCAGCUGAUAGCUUCAUCUUGCCCAAACGCACAGCAGCACAGUCUGCCAGCACACCACCUGUAGAUGUGGAUCACUCAGUUAUGUGUCUCACCAUGGUCUGCCCAUAUUUCAUCCCUACAGUUCUUGCUGCAGAGUCUAACAUGGAGGUAUUUAAAAACAUUAAAUUUAUUUGAAAUGCAAAGUAUAAAGUUCUGGUGCUGCGACUACUUGAAUCAGCACACAGAAUGAAAUGAGGUUCAUAAAUGCAGAGUUUUCAAAGUAGUGGCCUGAACACAAGGGAUACUUUGUGCUGUUGCCUUUCCUGUCACAUAAUGGCUCUCCCAUGUCCAUCCCAGAGGCACAGCCACCACUCCUGGGACAGGGUGCUCCUUGAGCUGGUGCAUUUGGAGAAGCAGACAAUCUUCCUGUUGUCCAGAACUGGACCACGAGCCACCAAUUAGACUGCUCUGAACGGCAGCAUUCUGUUCAAAGCGCUGCUAAUUGUAUUUUAAUGAUAAUUUAAAUGCUGCUGCUAUUUUCAGAGACAUCCAGAUCAGUAAUUACUCAUAGUCUAUGUUGAGCUUUAAGCAGGCACAGGCACAGCACUGUAGAAGCAUCAACUAAUGCUAUUAAUGUUCUCAAAGUCCUUCACUGCCCUCCCACAUGUCAAGAGCAUCGUCUCCGUUCCCAGGCCCAAGCCCAGCCUGGGCUGUUCACAUCUGGGAUCCAGCAGCCCAGCUGCACCACAGGUUGUUGCAGCAUUGUGGAAGUAAGGAAAGAGAAGCAGUGAAUCAAAUUUACCUACAUUCAUUAAACAAAAUUCUACCAAUAUUAAUAAAAAUCAACUAAAGUUCUUACAACAAGGCCACUUCAGAUCAUUUUUCCAUUAAGAUAAAAUACUAGCUCGAUUGAACUCCAUCCCUGAACACGGCAUGGUCAGAAUGUUUGAAUAAACUCACCAGAAAUGCAGAUCCUAACAAGCUGCUUGCACAGCCAGGAAGAACAUCAAUAUGUUAGAGCAAGUCCAGAGGAGGCCGCCAAGAUGAUGAGAAGGAUGGAGCACCUCUGCUACAAGGAAAGGCUGAGAGCGUUGGGGCUGUUCAGCCUGGAGAAGAGAAGCUUCAGGCUGACUCAGUUGCAGCCUUCCAGCACCUGAAGGGAGCUUACAAGAGAAAUGGAAAGAGGCUGUUUACAAGGAGCUGGAGUGACCAAACAAGGGAGAAUGGCUUCAGACUGACAGAGGACAAGUUUAGGUUAGAUAUUAGAAAUUCUUGGCUGUGAGAGUGGUGAGGCCCUGGCAAAGGCUGCCCAGAGAAGCUGUGGCAGCUCCAUCCCUGGAAGUGUCCAAGGCCAGGUUGGACAGGGCCUGGAGCAUCCCGGGAUAGUGGAGGAUGUCCCUGCCCAUGGCAGGGGUGGCACUGGAUGAUCUUUGAGGUUCAUUCCAAGCCAUUCAACUCUAGGGUUCUCUGACUCUGUCCUUGCUGUUGCAGCAGGAGCAAUGAUGUGGUGGGAAUGUGGCUGGCCUGCAGAGCUCACACUGCCAGAGCUGUGCUGUGCAGUGAGUCCAAGGGAGUAGAGUUUCCAAGGCUAGCAAAUCAAUACCUGCCAUAAGCAUGAAAUUCCUUCCCAAAUGUUUACUUGUAUUCUGUACAAGAUGCUCAUAGUGUGUAGAGGAAUCUAUUCUCCAGAAAAAAUAUUUAGAGUUCAAGUCACAGUUUUCCCUUUCAGAAAUUCAGCCAAAACACACCAAAUGUGCUAACCAUGGGCAGUGUAGUGCUGGUCAGGAUGUUUAUACAUAAAACACUCUGUCAGUGAGAGUAAAGCACAUAUCUUGCCUGUGUAAUUGAUAUCUACAAAUGGGGAAGCUGGUUGAACCCUGUUCAAAAAUACGUGCUUUUACGAGAACGUAGGUUAGCUUUAGUACAGUGGAUUUUACAUGCCAAACCUAAGCGGUCAAAAUUCGGAAGAGACUGUUAAUGAGACUGUUAAUGAUGCAGGAACAAAAGGGAGGCUUUUUUUCUCAUUGGAAAAUAAAAUGCAUGUAAACAAAUCCUAAUGCUGUUUGGUUUUGUUUGGUUUUGUUUUGUUUUGUUGUUUGGUUUUUUUUUUUUUGUGAAGAUUUAUUUGAGAUUAAUCACUUAAUUAUAGUCCUAGACUAUAUUAGUCUGUAUUAGUUUCACAAGUCUACCCUCAGUUUGAUGUGAGAUUGCUGGCCUAGGACAAGAGUGAGGAGCUUGCUCCAUUCUCUGACCAGGCACAUGGUGAAGAGAGUGGGAUUCUCUGUGCACUCCUUCCCCCAGUGGUGUUGUGCCUGGAGCUGCAAGAGCACCUCUGCCUGAGCAAGCCCCUGAAACAGCCUUAAAGGAGACAUUUGCUUGUGCAGCUCAGGUGGCUGCUACAGAGCAAUGAGAUUCGCAUGUGGGAAAAAUUUUACAUGCAAUUUUUUGCAGCAAACUUACCUGAGAGUUUUACUUUCUAUAUAAAUCAUCUGUCUUGCUUGUCUGAGGAAGCUUUUAAGUGUGUUUUUUGUGUGUGUCUCCAUUUUCUGAGGGCUGUACAAGCCGUGGCAACUUUG
Non-coding RNA from Taeniopygia guttata (zebra finch), 5516 nucleotides. The record is from RefSeq and is a predicted model, not a curated record. Lineage: Eukaryota; Metazoa; Chordata; Aves; Passeriformes; Estrildidae.